This 588-nucleotide ribosomal RNA is filed under the name Triticum aestivum (bread wheat). RNAcentral describes it as "partial small subunit ribosomal RNA". Lineage: Eukaryota; Viridiplantae; Streptophyta; Magnoliopsida; Poales; Poaceae. The record is from RNAcentral.
AUGAGGACCUGCGCUCUCCUCCUCGCUGUCACCGUCGCCGCCGCGGCGUUCGGCGGCGCACAAGCCGUUGGGAGACGAAGUUUCUGGCGGCCUCGGUGGCAGCCACUGCCAACGCCGCCUGCGAUCGUCGCCACGUGCCAGGCGGCCCACGACGCCGACAAGCGCGUCAACGUCACCUUCUGCACGAAUAUCUUUGGCCUGUUAAGACCGCACGACAGCACCGUGCGGGGCCUCGCCCAGGCCGCCGCAUCCAUGGGCGCCGGUCGCGCCGACACCGCGCAGACCACGAUCGACAGGACGCUCAGUCAGGGCGGCGUCGACGAUCCGAGAGCCAGGCGCGCGCUGGAGCGGUGCGACCGGCUGUACGGCUCCGCCGCUGCGGCCUUCAAUGCGGCGGGCAAGGCGAUCACGGAGGGGCGGUACGCCGACGUCGGGCGGUCGCUGGAGGGGGUCUCGGAGCUGGGGCGCCAGUGCGACUCGGAGAACCCCCCGGCCAGCAGUGGCAAUCUGGCGCCGCUCUGGAUCUUCAGCAGGGCAAACGAGCAGCUCACGUACCUCACCAUCGCCAUCACGAGCCUGAUCAAGUGA